AAUUUAAGCAUAUCAUUAAGCGGAGGAAAAGAAACUAAAAAGGAUUCCCCCAGUAACGGCGAGCGAAAAGGGAAGAGCUCAGCACUGAACCCUCUGCUCUAUAUGGGCAGCUGGGAAUGUGGUGUUUGGGAGGCUCAUUUCCCCGCAGUUGGUAGUACAGCCCCAAGUCCGUCUUGGUGGUAGUAGCAAAUACUCAAGUGAGAUCCUUGAGGACUGACGUGGAGAAGGGUUUCAUGUGAACAGCAAUUGCACAUGGGUGAGUCGUUCCUAAGCCAAAGGCGAAAGCCACGCUCAUAAACUUGUGGCCACAUGAAUUGUUAAGUGCCAGAAGCAGUCGGUAUGCUCCGUCUCUGAUCACAGUCAUUCAACGGUUGUCACGGUGCAGGUGUCUGCUCGUCAACUGCCAUAAUGGCGCAGAGUUUGGGUGGUGGGCUAGUGGAAGCACGUUUUUCGAGUGAGCCUGCAAGGAGUUUGGCGAAAGGGAAUCCGGUACUCAUUCCGGAACCUGGAUAUGAGGAGUAGUGUUGCUUUAUGCAUCACAUAGCCGCAAGGCGUUACCAUCCUGGAGAAUCCAA
This 575-nucleotide ribosomal RNA is filed under the name Candona bimucronata. RNAcentral's name for it is "LSU rRNA". It matches the Rfam family "Eukaryotic large subunit ribosomal RNA", at positions 31 to 1671 of the family's 3401-position model. The record is from RNAcentral. Lineage: Eukaryota; Metazoa; Arthropoda; Ostracoda; Podocopida; Candonidae.